RNAcentral lists this long non-coding RNA (1378 nucleotides) under Heterocephalus glaber (naked mole-rat). Its description in RNAcentral is "lncRNA (ENSHGLG00100042748.1)". The record is from RNAcentral. Lineage: Eukaryota; Metazoa; Chordata; Mammalia; Rodentia; Bathyergidae.
GUCGGGCGGGCGCGGGACCAGCCGCUGAAGCAAGACUGGGCACGUCCACCCUACGAGUGAGGAGACACUCAGCCACGGCUCUGCUAGAACUUGGACCCACGUCUCCUGACUCCUAAGCGCAGGGCUCCUGCUUUCCGAUGCAGCCACUCCCGGAGCACUUGUUCUGAACAAUUCGUACAUUCUGUAAAUUCAGCAUUCCAGCUCUAGCCUUUACCGUCGGGCAGACGGCUGUCGGAAAGGCGCUUGGCCGCUCGGAGCGCUCCAGUGAGAGAAUUACGCCUGUGGGAGUCGGCACGCAGGCGUGCACAGCAGCCGAGGAGAAACAGGAGGGAUCGUGAGGGCGUGUCACGAGGCGGGGCAGGGGCCAGGGUUGCAGCAAGUGUAGAGGUGGAGUCCGGGAGCAGCUGCUGCUCGCUGCCAGCCUGCUGUCCACCUGGUCUCCUGUUGCUCAACAAAUGCGGGAAAUCCAGCCUGUGGGCCUGCGUGGGACUCUAGCUGCGCGCACUAUCUGUGAAAAGCCGUCCUGCGCACCUUGCUCGGGCCAGGUCCUCACUGAGCUCCUCUCGCUCUCCCCCGGGACUAUGUCUUCCCUUCUGCUGGCCCCUGCUUGCCCUCUUCUCAUUACCCCCACAGCAUGAUCCAGGGAUUGAACUCGGGACCUUGCGUUUGCGAGGCAGGCGCCGGAACCACUGAGCUAAAUCCUCGGCCCCCGAAGACAAUUUUUAAGUCAAGAUUGGCCCUGGCACCAAAAGAUGUGGACUUCAGCUGUGUAGUUUACUGGGUAAAUUGGGGGUGCCGGCGACUGAGGCCUUGGCUGUCAAAGAUGAGGCUGACGGAGAGGUAGGACACCACCUCCUAGAAUACAGAUGGAUGCCUUGUCUUCCCCAGGCUCUUCUGAGACCCGACUCAGCUUAGUGAGUUGGUUGAAUGGAGCAAAAAGUCAUACUUUCCAUCAACUAGAGAUUGGUGAGGUCAGAUGAGGAGGAAGAAUCCUCUUCUCGCCGUGGGUUGCACCUCUGACUUCCAUUACAAGUUACAGUGGAAAGUCGUUGGUUGGAAACAACAUGUGGAAACUGACAGCGCAGCAAACCACUCCCAGGCAGAAAGCACACCUGAGGGGCCCGUGCCUGGAGAAUGCUCUCUCGCUGGCCACGUAGCUGAGUGAGCGAAGGUCUGUGGGUUUUCUGUGUGUUAUUUCCUGACCCAGUGAUGUGCAGUCCGUUUUUACCCCCUCUCUGCCUGUGUGCUGACCAUCACGGGAGGAGAGGCAGGGGCACUGAGGGGCCAGGGAGCAUCUCCCAACCUGAUGCAAAUUUAAGACCCUCUUUUCCAGCAGAGCCUGUGUGUAUGUAUCUAGCAGCUGGGAUUAAAAAAAAAC